Molecule: small nucleolar RNA, 136 nt
Organism: Echinops telfairi (small Madagascar hedgehog)
Lineage: Eukaryota; Metazoa; Chordata; Mammalia; Afrosoricida; Tenrecidae
Product: small nucleolar RNA SNORA42/SNORA80 family
Exons: 1
Source: RefSeq, a predicted model, not a curated record
CUAUGGGCUUGGAUUUAUGGCAGGCCUGGCCCCAUGGGCAUCUCAUAAUGUCCCAUGCCAGAGCAGACCAUAGCAUGGAACCACUGCCUCACCUCCUAGCCCAUAGGCUUCUAGCAUUGAAGCAGGUUGUACAAUG